UACGUAGGGUGCGAGCGUUGUCCGGAAUUAUUGGGCGUAAAGGGCUCGUAGGCGGUUUGUCGCGUCGGGAGUGAAAACCCAGGGCUUAACCCUGGGCUGGCUUCCGAUACGGGCAGACUAGAGGUAUGCAGGGGAGAACGGAAUUCCAGGUGUAGCGGUGAAAUGCGUAGAUAUCUGGAGGAACACCGGUGGCGAAGGCGGCAUCCUGGACCGACACUGACGCUGAGGAGCGAAAGCCAGGGGAGCAAACGGG
Molecule: ribosomal RNA, 253 nt
Filed under: uncultured bacterium
Lineage: Bacteria
Description: partial 16S ribosomal RNA
Rfam family: Bacterial small subunit ribosomal RNA
Source: RNAcentral